This is a small nuclear RNA of Echinops telfairi (small Madagascar hedgehog), 107 nucleotides long. Lineage: Eukaryota; Metazoa; Chordata; Mammalia; Afrosoricida; Tenrecidae. The record is from Ensembl.
GUACUCACUUCAGCAGCACAUCUUCUAAAAUUGGAAAGAUAUAGAGAAGAUUAGCAUGGCCCCUGAGCCAGGAUGACGCACAAACUCACGAAGUCUUCAAUGGACCA